RNAcentral lists this ribosomal RNA (253 nucleotides) under uncultured bacterium. RNAcentral describes it as "partial 16S ribosomal RNA". It matches the Rfam family "Bacterial small subunit ribosomal RNA", at positions 524 to 776 of the family's 1533-position model. The record is from RNAcentral.
UACGUAGGGUGCGAGCGUUAAUCGGAAUUACUGGGCGUAAAGCGCACGUAGGCGGCUUUCUAAGUCGGGGGUGAAAUCCUGGAGCUCAACUCCAGAACUGCCUUCGAUACUGGAAAGCUCGAGUCCGGGAGAGGUGAGUGGAACUGCGAGUGUAGAGGUGAAAUUCGUAGAUAUUCGCAAGAACACCAGUGGCGAAGGCGGCUCACUGGCCCGGUACUGACGCUGAGGUGCGAAAGCGUGAGGAGCAAACAGG